This is a non-coding RNA of Macaca mulatta (Rhesus monkey), 2081 nucleotides long. The record is from RefSeq and is a predicted model, not a curated record. NCBI's taxonomy places the organism in Eukaryota, Metazoa, Chordata, Mammalia, Primates, Cercopithecidae.
AGACCCGGUUACGGUUUCCUGCCUGGAACCCCACUCCCCACACACGUUACAGACCCGGUUACGGUUUCCUGCCUGGAACCCCGCUCCCCACACACGUUACAGACCCGGUUACGGUUUCCUGCCUGGAACCCCACUCCCCACGCACGUUACAGACCCGGUUAUGGUUUCCUGCCUGGAACCCCGCUCCCCACACACAUUACAGACCCGGAGUGAGAACAGCCACAUGUCCUAAGAGGGUUUCUGAUUUCUGGAAGCUUAAUACUUAUUGAAGCCUGGAUAAAAUCAAUGGAAAGUGCAUAUUGUUCAUGUAGUUUAUUGUGCCUGGAAAUGUUGCAGCUAUUUUCCAUUCUUAUGUAAUGUGUGUUCUACAAAGCUCUAGCCAAGCCAGGAAGCAGAAAGCAGCAGCCAGCACACAUCUAAUGUACUUGGAACCAAGGGGCCAAGACUCUAUACCAGGUGGCUCUGGACUUGCUGGAUGGCUUCGCUCAAUCCGUUUUCAGCAAAAUAAAGAGGGCAGGAAAGUUUUAAAGUGAAGAUGGAGAACAAACUCAAGAGCUUCUGACACUCAAGUCUGUAUAUUUGAUGACUAUUAGACAACUGUCUGGCACUGAAGAAUAGAAGAAAAUGAAAUUGCUAUAUUACUAUUUAUUAAAAUCCAUUCUGGUGCCAGAAUGGGCAGCUGUCGGAUACCACCUAGACCAAUGAAAGCCAACAUUCUAUUUCUUGGGAACCUCGUAAAUUCUCUAGGCUCUUUAUUAAGCAGAGACUACCAUGACUUACACUGGGGAGAAUAAGCAUCAGAAAUUAAAAAGCAAUGAGAUAUUGAAAGCCAUCUGAGAAGAAAGAAAGAAGACUAAGGAAUCAGAAGUAAAAUAUGAAAUAGAAUUAGAAUCACUUAUCCAUGAGCUUGACUAACCCAGGCAUUCAGAAAAAUAUGCAGUUCAAUGUUUCUUUCUCAGUCCCAGGUUCCCAGUCUUGACCACGCACUCUCUAAUCUUUCCUGCCCCCACUUCCUUUCUUACGUUUUACUUUGUCAGAAUAUUCUCUCCCUAAGAAACUUACUUUUAGAAGUAACUGAAACCUCAUAUAUAGUAUUAGACACGUGUUUGCUAAUACUAUAGUACUUUCCAAUCCUUAGUUUCAAUUGUGCCCCAAAUGAACCCUGCCAACUUCUAGCCUUCUUCUGGAUAAGAUGCAAAAAUGGCCAUGGUUUCUGGGGAAACGGUUCAGGUAAUUUAGUGUCCAUAACUUUUCAACCAAACCUUUCUCUUUGGAUCAAAACCCAAAGUAUGAGUUGAAAGCCUUUGCAAAGCAGAAUAAAAGUGGCUACAAGCAGAGGAGGACUGAGAUUGAGUAGAUGAAGGAGAAACAAAACCAGUCCCAUUAAGAAGGUUUCCAUUGAUCCAGAGCCAUGAAUUCACCAACACCACCGUGUCAUUCAAUCCUCUGCAGAUCCUCACCUAACACCUUUGUCUACUCCCUUCUGCUCUAAAGGGAUUUCUCCCUUGGCUGCUCUGAUAGCACACAUUCCUUGACCCCCUCCUGAAUAUCUGGCACUUCUUUCCCUGUCUUUAUUUCAUGUUCUUCUUCCUCCUGGCCAUCCCUUAUAUGCUAUGUUCUCUCAGAAAAAAAGAAGACAGCUAAAGGCAUAAACUUAGACUCUCGUCCUCACCCAUGAUUUCAGGGACAGUAUUUAUAGGAGACUACUCUCAAAGCCAGUCUCCAUUCCAUGAUCCUCUCCUGAGCUCCAUGUCUCAACAUCCAAAUGCCUGCCUGCUAGAGAUACCUUGGUUUCCCACUGAAAUCUGAAUUCAACAUGUCUAAAACUGAACCAGCAUUUUCCCCAAAGUUUGUUUUAUCCUAUAGUUUACAUCUCAAGAUACCUCCAGUAAUAUAGUCACAUAAGUCAGAAACUAUCCUUGACACUUUAUUUUUUCCCAUAGUAAUCAUCAAUACAUCCUGAUGACUUGACUUUGUUUUCAUUCAUUGGAUAGCUCCAAAAUCUGUCUGCUUCCUGUUGGAGAGGCCAGAUAUCUAAUAUGGAAAAUUACUAUUAAUAAAAUGCAGUUUUCAUUUAUUUG